Molecule: ribosomal RNA, 248 nt
Filed under: uncultured bacterium
Lineage: Bacteria
Description: partial 16S ribosomal RNA
Rfam family: Bacterial small subunit ribosomal RNA
Source: RNAcentral
UACGUAGGGUCGAGCGUUGUCCGGAAUUACUGGGCGUAAAGAGCUCGUAGGUGGUUUGUCGCGUUGUUCGUGAAAACUCACAGCUUAACUGUGGGCGUGCGGGCGAUACGGGCAGACUGGAGUACUGCAGGGGAGACUGGAAGUUCCUGGUGUAGCGGUGGAAUGCGCAGAUAUCAGGAGGAACACCGGUGGCGAAGGCGGCCGCCUGGUCGGCGAGUGAACUGACGCUGAGGAGCGAAAGCGUGGGG